RNAcentral lists this ribosomal RNA (497 nucleotides) under uncultured bacterium. RNAcentral describes it as "partial 16S ribosomal RNA". It matches the Rfam family "Bacterial small subunit ribosomal RNA", at positions 28 to 507 of the family's 1533-position model. The record is from RNAcentral.
GAUGAACGCUGGCGGCGUGCCUAAUACAUGCAAGUCGAGCGAACGGACGAGAAGCUUGCUUCUCUGAUGUUAGCGGCGGACGGGGGAGUAACACGUGGAUAACCUACCUAUAAGACUGGGAUAACUUCGGGAAACCGGAGCUAAUACCGGAUAAUAGUUUGAACCGCAUGGUGCAAAAGUUAAAGACGGUCUUUCUGUCACUUAUAGAUGGAUCCGCGCUGCAUUAGCUAGUUGGUAAGGGAACGGCUUACCAAGGCAACGAUGCAUAGCCGACCUGAGAGGGUGAUCGGCCACACUGGAACUGAGACACGGUCCAGACUCCUACGGGAGGCAGCAGUAGGGAAUCUUCCGCAAUGGGCGAAAGCCUGACGGAGCAACGCCGCGUGAGUGAUGAAGGUCUUCGGAUCGUAAAACUCUGUUAUUAGGGAAGAACAUAUGUGUAAGUAACUGUGCACAUCUUGACGGUACCUAAUCAGAAAGCCACGGCUAACUACGUG